This is a long non-coding RNA of Micropterus salmoides (largemouth bass), 1962 nucleotides long. RefSeq lists it as uncharacterized. NCBI's taxonomy places the organism in Eukaryota, Metazoa, Chordata, Actinopteri, Centrarchiformes, Centrarchidae. The transcript has 4 exons. The record is from RefSeq and is a predicted model, not a curated record.
UUAUAUUUUAUCAGGAAUGUCAAAGAUGCAGAAAAUGUUUAAAAUGUUACUCAUUUGGACUUCACUUUGGUUUUAAUCGCCUUGCACUUCUUUCCAAGCUGCUUUGCACCACAUGGACAUGGUCAUCUGCUACAUUUUUAAGGGACCGCCAUUUUUUCAAAGACUCUCAGGCUUCUGAACCUCUUCCACUCCAAGGGCGGAACCAUGGGGUUGAGGCAGUGAAGGCUAUCCUACUCAAGGCUCCAAGCAAUCCUAGCAUCAACAUGACCAUAGAUGCUGUUAUUCAGUGUUGGUGAACCUUGGGGAAUCUACAGAUCAACUUUUAAAAGAGCAUGAUGAUGCUGAUGAAGACAGUGUGUAACAGGACCUUGCUGUAAAAAGGAGGAAAAUCAACAUCAUUAAAACUACUACGUCAGAGGGUCCUGACGAUAUCGGUAUCGUGGUAGAGGGCAUGAAAAUUCUGAUUGCUCUGGGUAACUUUCCAAGGGCUCCAUGGUCGUUGGUUUGGCAUACAGUGAAUCUUGCCUAUCCCAAGGAACUCAGGUACACGUUUGAAUUCUUCCAGAAACUCCUUCUCAAGCUGGAUUGCUUAAAACUGUCCCCAAAAGUGAACAGCCUCAAGAAUAAGCUACUAGUUUAAGAAACGGGACCCUCACAGAAUGAAGUGGAACCAUUAAGUCAUUGUCCAAACUGUCACAUGAUGACCCACUCACUGUGGAGGAGCUACAAACUGUCACUGAAGGAGACAUUCUCCGAGUAAUAUUUGAUGACUGAGUUGAGAUGUUGCUUAUUCCAUCAGGAAUCCCAUCCACUGUGGAGGAGCUGCAAAUUGUUGUGAAAGAGUCCUUUGGAGUUCAGUUUUCAGUAUUUAAACUUUUAGAUUACUUUACUCUCCAUAAAAGUGACCAAAUUAAACAUAAAGACACCAUAAAGACUGUACACACUGCUCUGUCUGUUCUAAACUUGAUUUCACUUGAUGAAAGUUUGGGCAGUGCUUUUGAGCAGUUACGUAACUGACUAAAAAAUUAUUGAGUUUCAAAUGGUUGCUUAUCAAAAAAACUGGCCAUACUCAUUUGAUGGGUAUGGAAUUUUGUUUUAGAGUUAAUAUGGCCCAGGCAGGAGUGUUGUGAUUGUAGGUUGUGAUUCCACUGUGUACACUAAGGAUGCAAAUUUGACAUAGGCGAUUGUUCAAGUGAGAACUAAAAAAAUAUUUUGCAGUCUGAAAACAUUGUCUUAAUCUAAAUGAGAAUCUAAAGCAAUGCUGUAAUGUGGUAAUGAUCCAGCAGAUGGCAGACAUGUGACAUAUUGGAUGCUAAAGCCCACAAAACUACCACACUAUUCCUGUUAUUACUCCCUCUUACCACCAAUAUACAAUGCUUUGUAUAAUUAUUAGUAGUAGAUGACAUUUUAUGAGCAGUAGCAGUAACAGCAGCAGGGUUUAUAUGGACACAUUGACCACAAAAGACAUGAAAAAUCCAGUGCUUGCUGAAAAUUGUUGCGACAUAAUAAGAAUAGAGCUGUCUAUUAGCUUGUUGGUCUUUUCUCUUAAUCCUGUUUUGGCUUCGUCACACAGCCAGUGUGUAGGCCGAGCUCACUGAUAUUUUUACCUCCUUUGGGAAAUAAUUCUUUGAUCCACACUCAAACGCAUGUUGAGUUUAAUAUCUCUUAUGAACAGCUACAGAAUAAAAAAAACCCACCCAAUUAAUCCUGCAAAAUGAAAUGACAAGUACAAAGUUAGAUAUGACUUCAACGCACUUUAAUAUUCAUUCAGUCUACAUGUCCUGUGAAAUAUUUCCAUCUUCUGGUGAACAGAAUAACUGCAGGUUAUGAGCUCAGGCAGGACUUGUGGAAUAAUUACUCACUCUCCUAUGUGUUGUACAAAUUUUGGAGCAUGUGGAAAUGUUUCACGAGCAGCUAUGAACUCAUUAACAAGGGAUAAAUAAAGUUAUGGUUGGCAAUCAG